CUCAGUUGUCCCAUCUGCAGAGUGUGCUGCCAGGGUCUAUGCUCAGAAAGUGACUUCAGAACGUAGCGGUGUGGAACUGCAGCAGCACUGAUUUCGCUCGUGAACCUGCAGUGUGGACUUGGUGGGGACGGCUCGCCUGCACUCCGGGUGGCAGGAGGUAGAGUUGGGUGUUGGGGGCUGGGGUCGUUAGAGCUCACCAUGCAACAUGACACACACCGCUACAUACACACCACUACACACACUAGAUACACCACUACACACACCACUACACACACUACACACACCACUACACACACACACUACACACACUACACCACUACACACACCACUACACACACUACACGCACACAGUACACACACCACUACACACACUACACGCACACAGUACACACACCACUACACACACUACACACACCACUACACACACACACCACUACACACACUAGAUACACCACUACACACACCACUACUCACACUACACGCACAGUACACACACCACUACACACUACAUACAAACCACUACACACACUACACACACACACCACUACACGCACACACUACACACACCACUACACACACACUACAUACACCACUACACACACCACUACACAUACUACACACACAGUACACACACCACUACACACUACAUACAAACCACUACACACACUACACACACACACCACUACACGCACACUACACACACCACUACAUAUACCACUACACACACCACUACACACACACUACAUACAAACCACUACACACACCACUACACACUACAUACCACUACACACACCACUACACACACUACACGCACACACUACACACACCACUACACACACACACUGCAUACACCACUACACACACACCGCUACACACUACACGCACACAGUACACACACCACUACACACACACUACAUACAAACCACUACACGCACACUACACACACCACACACACACCACACACACCAUUACACACACUACACUACACACACCACUACACACACACCACUGCAUACACACUACAUACACCACUACACACACUACACACACUACACACACUACACACACAACCACUACACACACACUACACGCACACACUACACACACAACCACUACACGUACCACUACACACUACACACAACCACUACACACACCACUACACACACACCACUACAUACACCACUACACACACCACUACACACACCACUACACACACUACACGCACAGUACACACACUACACACACAACAUACAAACCACUACACACACUACACACACCACUACACACACACUACACACACCACUACACACACACACUACACACACUACACACACACCACUACACACCACUGCAUACACACCACUGCAUACACCACUACACACACCACUACACGCCACUACACACUACACACACCACUACACACAACACACAACCACUACACACACACUACACACACCACUACACGCACACACUACACACACCACUACACACACUACACACAACCACUACACACACCACUACACACGCACCACUACACACACGCACCACUACACACUACACACACACCACUACACACACACCAUUACACACUACACACACCACUAUGCACACACAUACACACCACUACACACACAUUACGCUACACACACACUACACACACUACAGGCACACACUACACCACUACACACACACUACACACAUUACACACACUACACACUCCACUAUGCACACACUACACAAACACCACUACACACACACUACACACACACCACUACACUACACACACCACUAUGCACACUACAUACACACACCACUACACUCACACACCAUUACACACACACUACACACACCACUACACACCACUACACACACACCAUUACACACACACUACACACACCACUACACACCACUACACACACACCAUUACACACACACUACACACACCACUACACACCACUAUGCACACACUACACACACACCAUUACACACACACUACACACACCACUACACACACACUACACACACACACCACUAUGCACACACUACACACUACACAUACACACCACUACACACACCAUUAGACACCACUACACACACACUACACACCACUACACACUACACACACACCACUAUGCACACACUACACAUACCACUACACACACACCAUUACACACACACUACACACACUACACACUACACACACACCACUACACACUACACACACCACUAUGCACACACUACACAUACACGCCACUACACACACCACUACACACACGCAACACACACCACUAUGCACACACCACUACACACACUACACACACCACUACACUACACACACACCACUAUGCACACUACACAUACACACC
Molecule: long non-coding RNA, 2366 nt
Filed under: Homo sapiens (human)
Lineage: Eukaryota; Metazoa; Chordata; Mammalia; Primates; Hominidae
Description: non-protein coding lnc-NOC4L-1:2
Source: RNAcentral